CCUACGAGAGGCUGCAGUGAGGAAUAUUGGUCAAUGGGCGCGAGCCUGAACCAGCCAAGUAGCGUGAAGGAUGACUGCCCUACGGGUUGUAAACUUCUUUUAUAAAGGAAUAAAGUGAGGCACGUGUGCCUUUUUGUAUGUACUUUAUGAAUAAGGAUCGGCUAACUCCGUGCCAGCAGCCGCGGUAAUACGGAGGAUCCGAGCGUUAUCCGGAUUUAUUGGGUUUAAAGGGAGCGUAGAUGGGUUGUUAAGUCAGUUGUGAAAGUUUGCGGCUCAACCGUAAAAUUGCAAUUGAUACUGGCAGUCUUGAGUACAGUUGAGGUAGGCGGAAUUCGUGGUGUAGCGGUGAAAUGCUUAGAUAUCACGAAGAACCCCGAUUGCGAAGGCAGCUUACUAAACUGUGACUGACAUUGAUGCUCGAAAGUGUGGGUAUCAAACAGGAUUAGAUACCCCAGUAGUC
RNAcentral lists this ribosomal RNA (460 nucleotides) under uncultured bacterium. RNAcentral's name for it is "partial 16S ribosomal RNA". It matches the Rfam family "Bacterial small subunit ribosomal RNA", at positions 338 to 795 of the family's 1533-position model. The record is from RNAcentral.